This 253-nucleotide ribosomal RNA is filed under the name uncultured bacterium. RNAcentral's name for it is "partial 16S ribosomal RNA". It matches the Rfam family "Bacterial small subunit ribosomal RNA", at positions 524 to 776 of the family's 1533-position model. The record is from RNAcentral.
UACGGAGGGGGCAAGCGUUAUUCGGAAUUAUUGGGCGUAAAGGGCGCGUAGGCGGCUAGAUGUGUCAAAGGUGAAAUCCCUCGGCUCAACUGAGGAACUGCCUUUGAAACUGUCUGGCUUGAGGCCGGGAGAGGGUAGCGGAAUUCCCAGUGUAGCGGUGAAAUGCGUAGAUAUUGGGAGGAACACCAGUGGCGAAGGCAGCUCGCUGGGACGUGACUGACGCUGAGACGCGAAAGCGUGGGGAGCAAACAGG